AUUGAACGCUGGCGGCAUGCUUUACACAUGCAAGUCGAACGGUAACAGGUUAAGCUGACGAGUGGCGAACGGGUGAGUAAUGCAUCGGAACGUGCCCAGUCGUGGGGGAUAACGCAGCGAAAGCUGUGCUAAUACCGCAUACGAUCUAUGGAUGAAAGCGGGGGGACCGUAAGGCCUCGCGCGAUUGGAGCGGCCGAUGUCAGAUUAGCUAGUUGGUGGGGUAAAGGCCCACCAAGGCGACGAUCUGUAGCUGGUCUGAGAGGACGACCAGCCACACUGGAACUGAGACACGGUCCAGACUCCUACGGGAGGCAGCAGUGGGGAAUUUUGGACAAUGGGCGCAAGCCUGAUCCAGCAAUGCCGCGUGCAGGAGAAGGCCUCGGUGUAA
Molecule: ribosomal RNA, 388 nt
Filed under: uncultured bacterium
Lineage: Bacteria
Description: bacterial SSU rRNA
Rfam family: Bacterial small subunit ribosomal RNA
Source: RNAcentral